UCACCAGUGGCUCAGUGGUAAAGAAUCUGCUUGUAACGCAGGAGGCUCAGGUUUGAUCCCUGGGUUGGGAA
This 71-nucleotide transfer RNA is filed under the name Bos taurus (domestic cattle). It matches the Rfam family "tRNA". From Rfam's summary of the family: Transfer RNA (tRNA) molecules are approximately 80 nucleotides in length. RNAcentral also lists the same sequence under 4 other names. The record is from Rfam by way of RNAcentral. Lineage: Eukaryota; Metazoa; Chordata; Mammalia; Artiodactyla; Bovidae.